This 253-nucleotide ribosomal RNA is filed under the name uncultured bacterium. Its description in RNAcentral is "partial 16S ribosomal RNA". It matches the Rfam family "Bacterial small subunit ribosomal RNA", at positions 524 to 776 of the family's 1533-position model. The record is from RNAcentral.
UACAGAGGGUGCGAGCGUUAAUCGGAAUUACUGGGCGUAAAGCGCACGUAGGCGGCUUGGUAUGUCGGGUGUGAAAUCCCCGGGCUCAACCUGGGAACUGCAUCCGAAACUGCCUUGCUCGAGUAUGGGAGAGGGAAGUGGAAUUUCCGGUGUAGCGGUGAAAUGCGUAGAUAUGCGGAGGAACACCGAUGGCGAAGGCAAUCCCCUGGACCUGUACUGACGCUCAUGCACGAAAGCGUGGGGAGCAAACAGG